ACAGCCCCAGUCGUACCUGUCUUCUUUGAUAACGUCCACAAAGUGGGCGUCCGUUUUCUCCCGGAUGUUCUUGAACCUCAGCGGAAGGAGAGCCGACUGGUCCAGGCUCACCCCUGCCCACCUUCCCUUCUCCUGCAAGAUCUCACACAGAGAAGUCUGACUGUUGGUGAGCUUCUCCUCUUGGGGAGGGCUGAGGAGCCCGUUCUGAGUUUUGGGAUUAGGUCCUCCAGAAGCCUGCCUCGAGACAAAGAGGACGCAGACACGGGAAGUGAAGUGGCACCGGGCACUGGGCACACACGCCUGUCCCACCCCGACCUCCGCUGCGGGGCGCUGCUGCACUGGGCGUGGGACUUUCUGACCUGCGAGGAACCCCCACCCCCCUGCGCCUACAGACCUGCUCCAAUCCCAGCCCUGACUGCCCGUCUGCUCCUUCCUGUUACCCAACAGUGCCCAGUGGUAACGCUGGGUGUUCAGGCUGCCAGGACAUUGAGACAUGGGAAGAGUCGGUGCGGAGGUGGAGGGGAAGGGAGGAAAGUGAGGAGCCGAGGCCCCCAGAGUCUGCUUAGGCCAGAACCACGGUUCUGGGAGCAGGGUGCAUGGGUCGGGGGUCCAGGAGAAGUAUGACGAGGGGUCCAGGGCUGUCAGGGCACAGGCAAGGUGGAUGGAAACGGGCUCGUGUCGUGGGUGUCCCCCGUGGCUGUGGGAAGGCAUGGGAUGACCUGCACCUGCAAUCCUUUGGCAGAUGGAGAGCAGAUGGAGGACGAGAGCCCGCGCCCCAGCCUUUCUCGCCGUGAAGACCCCCUCUUGUCUCUGCCCGUCUAUAUUCUCUCAUAAACUGAGUCCAGCUUCCAGUACCACAAAUCCCCUCCCGGCACUCGAAUCCACGCAUUUUAAACCCUUAUUGGCCUUUAAAGGAAUCCCGCCCAGCUCAGCCCCUGAGCGCUGGUUUCCACGUGGGUUGCUGCUGACCCUCCCUCGAGCUCCCUGCCGGUCUCUUCAACACCCGGAGGACCCGCGGGUGCGGAGUGCUGUUACCCAAGAGGAGUUACUCUCAGAACUAAGAAGUCGACAAGACAGGAAUGUCACCUUGGGUGGAUGCGCCAGGAGAGGAACUGACAGGAACAACAGCCAUGAGCUUGUUACCUUGGUGCUGUUUUUAUGCUCGUCUUGGCAGCCGUUUUGAGGUGCUCCUCCCUCGGCGCCGGCUUCAGAUUUGGGAGCAAAUGUGAUUCCGCACGAAGGGCAGGUCUAGAAGAAAAACACAGACUGUGGGGACACACCCAGAAACCGCGACUGCCACCCUGAAUUCAGGCAGGUCCGCUGUUGCCAUCUGCCGUCACGCAGCAUGGUGGUGAGCAAGGGGAAGGCACACAGAACCGCUCGGGGAUGAGCUGAAAGCCAACGGGCAAAGUGACAGUGGAAACACACAGAAACCCGGGCACGAACGCAACAGGACCCAAAAAUGGAACCGGGAAUGUUCACUGACUGAACAAUGGAUCAACAAACUGUGGUCUAUUCGAACAAUGGGAUAUUACUCAGCCACGAAAAAGACGGAAGCACUGACGCCUGCCACAGCAUGGUGAACCUCGAAAACAUUAUGCUCGGGGAGGGAAGCCAGACACAGCACAGAUAUUACGUGAUCCCGUCUAUGUGAAAUAUUCAGAAAAGGUGAAUCCUUGGAGGGAGAAGGCAGAUUCCUGGCUGCCAGGCGGGACCGGGGGCAGGAAGGGGGAGUGGCUGCUAAGGGGCGUGGGGUUUGCUACGAUUCGAAUGUUUGUGCCCCCUCAAAAGUCAGACGCUGAAAUCCUAAUUCCCAAGGGGAUGGCAUUGGGGGGCAAAGCCUUGGGAGGUAAUUAGGUCAUGGGGGACAAGCCUUCAAAAUAGGAUUAGUGCCCUCAUAAAAGAGGCCCCAGAGGAAUCCCUCGUCCCUUCGCCCUGGGAGAAGGCACCAUCUGUGAAGCAGGAACGGGUCCUCACUGGACACUGAAUCUUCCGGGACCUUGAUCUCGGACUUCCCAGCCUCCAGAACCCUGAGAAAUACAUUUCUGUUGUUUAAAAGCCA
Molecule: long non-coding RNA, 2062 nt
Organism: Homo sapiens (human)
Lineage: Eukaryota; Metazoa; Chordata; Mammalia; Primates; Hominidae
Exons: 2
Source: RefSeq, a predicted model, not a curated record